AUUGAACGCUGGCGGCAGGCCUAACACAUGCAAGUCGAGCGGUAGAGAGGUGCUUGCAUCUCUUGAGAGCGGCGGACGGGUGAGUAAUGCCUAGGAAUCUGCCUAGUGGUGGGGGAUAACGUUCGGAAACGGACGCUAAUACCGCAUACGUCCUACGGGAGAAAGCGGGGGAUCUUCGGACCUCGCGCCAUUAGAUGAGCCUAGGUCGGAUUAGCUAGUUGGUGAGGUAAUGGCUCACCAAGGCGACGAUCCGUAACUGGGUCUGAGAGGAUGAUCAGUCACACUGGAACUGAGGCACGGUCCAGACUCCUACGGGAGGCAGCAGUGGGGAAUAUUGGACAAUGGGCGAAAGCCUGAUCCAGCCAUGCCGCGUGUGUGAAGAAGGUCUUCGGAUUGUAAACUGCUUUUGUACGGAACGAAACGGUGAGCUCUAAUACAGUUUGCUAAUGACGGUACCGUAAGAAUAAGCACCGGCUAACUACGUG
This 485-nucleotide ribosomal RNA is filed under the name uncultured bacterium. RNAcentral's name for it is "bacterial SSU rRNA". It matches the Rfam family "Bacterial small subunit ribosomal RNA", at positions 30 to 507 of the family's 1533-position model. The record is from RNAcentral.